UAGCAAUACAGUGGAAAGUUCAGUGGCGAACGGGUGCGUAACACGUGGGCAAUCUGCCUUAAAGUGGGGGAUAGCUCGGCGAAAGCCGAAUUAAUACCGCAUGUGGCUACUGGAGACAUCUUCGGGACGCUAAAGGUGGCGCAAGCUACCGCUUUUUGAGGAGCCCGCGGCCUAUCAGCUUGUUGGUGAGGUAACGGCUCACCAAGGCGUUGACGGGUAGCUGGUCUGAGAGGACGACCAGCCACACUGGGACUGAGACACGGCCCAGACACCUACGGGUGGCAGCAGUCGAGAAUUUUUGACAAUGGGGGAAACCCUGAUCGAGCGACGCCGCGUGGAGGAUGAAGGUCUUCGGGUUGUAAACUCCUGUCAUUUGGGAACAAGGCGUAUGUAUUAACUGUACGUGCGUUGAUAGUACCAGAAGAGGAAGAGACGGCUAACUCUGUGCCAGCAGCCGCGGUAAUACAGAGGUCUCAAGCGUUGUUCGGAUUCAUUGGGCGUAAAGGGUGUGUAGGUGGCGCGCUAAGUCGGGUGUGAAAUUUCGGAGCUUAACUCCGAAACUGCAUUCGAUACUGGCGUGCUUGAGGACUGGAGAGGAGACUGGAAUUCACGGUGUAGCA
Molecule: ribosomal RNA, 620 nt
Filed under: uncultured Verrucomicrobiota bacterium
Lineage: Bacteria; Pseudomonadati; Verrucomicrobiota
Description: bacterial SSU rRNA
Rfam family: Bacterial small subunit ribosomal RNA
Source: RNAcentral